CGAGAGAAGCAAUUCUCCACUACUCAACGCAAUGCGUCGCAUGCUGUAUCAACUAAGAGAAGGCAACAGGUCUAUGCCGAGUGCACAUAACAGACAUGGUCGAAAUGCAGAUGAUGCUCAACAAUGCUCCGUCUGUUGCUUAUAUACUGCCACGUCAUCAACUUCGUGAAAAACAGUGCUCCUAAAAGAGACUUCACAAUGGGCCUGAUGUUUUGAUAGUAGACGAUGUUGGAUUAAAUGCGAGGAGUGAGCCGGCACCACUAGUAUUGAUCAGUAAUAAUCCGUACUUGCCAGCUCGUUUUGCUCUUCAACCAACAAUGCGCAUGCUUCAAGGAGUACUAGAGGAAACAAUAG
Molecule: non-coding RNA, 354 nt
Organism: Caenorhabditis elegans
Lineage: Eukaryota; Metazoa; Nematoda; Chromadorea; Rhabditida; Rhabditidae
Source: Ensembl